RNAcentral lists this long non-coding RNA (300 nucleotides) under Bos taurus (domestic cattle). Its description in RNAcentral is "long non-coding RNA NONBTAT020519". Lineage: Eukaryota; Metazoa; Chordata; Mammalia; Artiodactyla; Bovidae. The record is from RNAcentral.
GUCUCAAGCCAUCCUGUUAAAGGGAAAGAGAAGUAAUUUUAUUAUAUUACAAUAUCUGACCAUAUUAUGAGGUGAAAGCAUAGAGUCUCACUUUGACGAUCAUCUAGUAAUUCCCUCUAGCUGGAGAAACUCUGCUUACUGAAAUCAUCUUGAACCACUCAGCAUGGCCCAGGGGUCACCCCACUGUUAGGGCCUGAGCCUCCGUGGGCAGUCCCUCACAUCCCCUCUCCUGCCUGCCCCUGUUUGAGGCGCCAAAAGCCUUGGUGCUCAGUAGUCUUCUAGUAAUAUGCAGUUUUCCCU